UACGGAGGGGGCGAGCGUUGUUCGGAAUCAUUGGGCGUAAAGGGCGCGUAGGCGGUCGGGUAAGUCGGUUGUGAAAUCCCCUGGCUUAACCAGGGAAGUGCGUCCGAAACUGCCUGACUAGAGGCCGGGAGAGGAGAGUGGAAUUCCCAGUGUAGCGGUGAAAUGCGUAGAUAUUGGGAGGAACACCGGUGGCGAAGGCGGCUCUCUGGACCGGUUCUGACGCUGAGGCGCGAAAGCUAGGGGAG
RNAcentral lists this ribosomal RNA (245 nucleotides) under uncultured bacterium. Its description in RNAcentral is "partial 16S ribosomal RNA". It matches the Rfam family "Bacterial small subunit ribosomal RNA", at positions 524 to 768 of the family's 1533-position model. The record is from RNAcentral.